Molecule: ribosomal RNA, 502 nt
Filed under: uncultured soil bacterium
Lineage: Bacteria
Description: bacterial SSU rRNA
Rfam family: Bacterial small subunit ribosomal RNA
Source: RNAcentral
AGAGUGAACGCUGGCGGCAGGCCUAACACAUGCAAGUCGAACGGCAGCACAGCAGAGCUUGCUCUGUGGGUGGCGAGUGGCGGACGGGUGAGGAAUACGUCGGAAUCUGCCUUUUUGUGGGGGAUAACGUAGGGAAACUUACGCUAAUACCGCAUACGACCUACGGGUGAAAGCGGAGGACCUUCGGGCUUCGCGCAGAAAGAUGAGCCGACGUCGGAUUAGCUAGUUGGAGGGUAAUGGCCCACCAAGGCGACGAUCCGUAGCCGGUCUGAGAGGAUGAUCAGCCACACUGGGACUGAGACACGGCCCAGACUCCUACGGAGGCAGCAGUGGGGAAUUUUGGACAAUGGGCGCAAGCCUGAUCCAGCAAUGCCGCGUGCAGGAAGAAGGCCUCGGUUGUAAACUGCUUUGUACGGAACGAAACGGUACCUGGUUAAAUACCUGGGCUAAUGACGGUACGUAAAGAAUAAAGCAACCGGCUAAACUACGUAGCCAGCAGCCG